AGGUCGUUAGCUCAGUUGGUAGAGCAGUUGACUUUUAAUCAGUUGGUCGCAGGUUCGAAUCCUGCACGACCCACCA
RNAcentral lists this transfer RNA (76 nucleotides) under Klebsiella pneumoniae. RNAcentral's name for it is "tRNA-Lys". It matches the Rfam family "tRNA". Rfam says of the family: Transfer RNA (tRNA) molecules are approximately 80 nucleotides in length. Lineage: Bacteria; Pseudomonadati; Pseudomonadota; Gammaproteobacteria; Enterobacterales; Enterobacteriaceae. The record is from RNAcentral.